CACACACUCCCACUAACACUCACUAUUAUUAAGUAUACACACAAUGUGCCACAAUCUCACUAACACACACUGUUAAGUAUACACAUAAUGUCACUGACACUAUUAAGUAUACACACAAUGUCUCACACUCUCACUAACACACACUAUUCAGUAUACACACACACAAUGUCUCACACUCUCACUAACACACACUAUUACUGAACUAUAUACACACAAUGUCACUCACACCAGUUUAGUCACACUUUAUACACACACAAACAUACACAAUAUGAUCAGC
Non-coding RNA from Pelobates cultripes (western spadefoot toad), 277 nucleotides. NCBI's taxonomy places the organism in Eukaryota, Metazoa, Chordata, Amphibia, Anura, Pelobatidae. The record is from the annotation of a GenBank genome assembly.